UUUUUAAGGUAAAACUUUAAACUUUGGGAACAUUGAAACAGGCUAAGAAAAAAUAAUUGGAUAGGAAAUAUUACUCUAUUCAUUUAUCUCCUCAUGCCUACAAAA
Molecule: small nucleolar RNA, 105 nt
Filed under: Pteropus vampyrus (large flying fox)
Lineage: Eukaryota; Metazoa; Chordata; Mammalia; Chiroptera; Pteropodidae
Source: RNAcentral